RNAcentral lists this ribosomal RNA (253 nucleotides) under uncultured bacterium. RNAcentral describes it as "partial 16S ribosomal RNA". It matches the Rfam family "Bacterial small subunit ribosomal RNA", at positions 524 to 776 of the family's 1533-position model. The record is from RNAcentral.
UACGUAGGCAGCAAGCGUUGUUCGGAGCUACUGGGCGUAAAGGGUGCGUAGGCGGCUUUUUAAGUCUGGUGUGAAAUCUCCCGGCUCAACUGGGAGGGUGCGCCGGAUACUGAGGGGCUAGAGUGUGGGAGAGGAAAGUGGAAUUCCUGGUGUAGCGGUGAAAUGCGUAGAUAUCAGGAGGAACACCGGUGGUGUAAACGGCUUUCUGGACCAUAACUGACGCUGAGGCACGAAAGCGUGGGUAGCAAACAGG